UGGGGAAUAUUGGACAAUGGGCGCAAGCCUGAUCCAGCCAUGCCGCGUGUGUGAAGAAGGCCUUCGGGUUGUAAAGCACUUUUGUCCGGAAAGAAAUCCUGUCGGCUAAUACCCGGCGGGGAUGACGGUACCGGAAGAAUAAGCACCGGCUAACUUCGUGCCAGCAGCCGCGGUAAUACGAAGGGGUGCAAGCGUUACUCGGAAUUACUGGGCGUAAAGCGUGCGUAGGUGGUUUGUUAAGUCUGAUGUGAAAGCCCUGGGCUCAACCUGGGAACUGCAUUGGAAACUGGCUGACUGGAGUGCGGUAGAGGGGUGUGGAAUUCCCGGUGUAGCAGUGAAAUGCGUAGAUAUCGGGAGGAACACCAGUGGCGAAGGCGACACCCUGGACCAGCACUGACACUGAGGCACGAAAGCGUGGGGAGCAAAGCAGGAUUAGAUACCC
This 442-nucleotide ribosomal RNA is filed under the name uncultured bacterium. RNAcentral describes it as "bacterial SSU rRNA". It matches the Rfam family "Bacterial small subunit ribosomal RNA", at positions 355 to 787 of the family's 1533-position model. The record is from RNAcentral.